RNAcentral lists this ribosomal RNA (1379 nucleotides) under Klebsiella aerogenes. RNAcentral's name for it is "partial 23S ribosomal RNA". It matches the Rfam family "Bacterial large subunit ribosomal RNA", at positions 1570 to 2925 of the family's 2925-position model. Lineage: Bacteria; Pseudomonadati; Pseudomonadota; Gammaproteobacteria; Enterobacterales; Enterobacteriaceae. The record is from RNAcentral.
GAGGCACUACGGUGCUGAAGUAACAAAUGCCCUGCUUCCAGGAAAAGCCUCUAAGCAUCAGGUAACAUUGAAUCGUACCCCAAACCGACACAGGUGGUCAGGUAGAGAAUACCAAGGCGCUUGAGAGAACUCGGGUGAAGGAACUAGGCAAAAUGGUGCCGUAACUUCGGGAGAAGGCACGCUGAUAUGUAGGUGAAGCCCCUGCGGGUGGAGCUGAAAUCAGUCGAAGAUACCAGCUGGCUGCAACUGUUUAUUAAAAACACAGCACUGUGCAAACACGAAAGUGGACGUAUACGGUGUGACGCCUGCCCGGUGCCGGAAGGUUAAUUGAUGGGGUUAUCCGUAAGGAGAAGCUCUUGAUCGAAGCCCCGGUAAACGGCGGCCGUAACUAUAACGGUCCUAAGGUAGCGAAAUUCCUUGUCGGGUAAGUUCCGACCUGCACGAAUGGCGUAAUGAUGGCCAGGCUGUCUCCACCCGAGACUCAGUGAAAUUGAACUCGCUGUGAAGAUGCAGUGUACCCGCGGCAAGACGGAAAGACCCCGUGAACCUUUACUAUAGCUUGACACUGAACAUUGAGCCUUGAUGUGUAGGAUAGGUGGGAGGCUUUGAAGCGUGGACGCCAGUCUGCGUGGAGCCAACCUUGAAAUACCACCCUUUAAUGUUUGAUGUUCUAACGUUGGCCCCUGACCGGGGUUGCGGACAGUGUCUGGUGGGUAGUUUGACUGGGGCGGUCUCCUCCCAAAGAGUAACGGAGGAGCACGAAGGUUAGCUAAUCCUGGUCGGACAUCAGGAGGUUAGUGCAAUGGCAUAAGCUAGCUUGACUGCGAGCGUGACGGCGCGAGCAGGUGCGAAAGCAGGUCAUAGUGAUCCGGUGGUUCUGAAUGGAAGGGCCAUCGCUCAACGGAUAAAAGGUACUCCGGGGAUAACAGGCUGAUACCGCCCAAGAGUUCAUAUCGACGGCGGUGUUUGGCACCUCGAUGUCGGCUCAUCACAUCCUGGGGCUGAAGUAGGUCCCAAGGGUAUGGCUGUUCGCCAUUUAAAGUGGUACGCGAGCUGGGUUUAGAACGUCGUGAGACAGUUCGGUCCCUAUCUGCCGUGGGCGCUGGAGAAUUGAGGGGGGCUGCUCCUAGUACGAGAGGACCGGAGUGGACGCAUCACUGGUGUUCGGGUUGUCAUGCCAAUGGCAUUGCCCGGUAGCUAAAUGCGGAAGAGAUAAGUGCUGAAAGCAUCUAAGCACGAAACUUGCCCCGAGAUGAGUUCUCCCUGACUCCUUGAGAGUCCUGAAGGAACGUUAAAGACGAUGACGUUGAUAGGUCGGGUGUGUAAGCGUAGCGAUACGUUGAGCUAACCGAUACUAAUGAACCGUGAGGCUUAACCUU